ACAUGCAAGUCGAGCGGUAAGGCCCUUUCGGGGGUACACGAGCGGCGAACGGGUGAGUAACACGUGAGUAAUCUGCCCUUCACUUCGGGAUAAGCCUCGGAAACGGGGUCUAAUACCGGAUACGACACUUUUACGCAUGUAAUGGGUGUGGAAAGUUUUUUCGGUGGGGGAUGUGCUCGCGGCCUAUCAGCUUGUUGGUGGGGUAAUGGCCUACCAAGGCUUCGACGGGUAGCCGGCCUGAGAGGGUGACCGGCCACACUGGGACUGAGACACGGCCCAGACUCCUACGGGAGGCAGCAGUGGGGAAUAUUGGACAAUGGGCGGAAGCCUGAUCCAGCAACGCCGCGUGAGGGAUGACGGCCUUCGGGUUGUAAACCUCUUUCAGCGGGGACGAAGCGCAAGUGACGGUACCCGCAGAAGAAGCACCGGCCAACUACGUGCCAGCAGCCGCGGUAAUACGUAGGGUGCGAGCGUUGUCCGGAAUUAUUGGGCGUAAAGGGCUCGUAGGCGGUUUGUCGCGUCGGGAGUGAAAACGCCGGGCUUAACUCGGUGCUUGCUUUCGAUACGGGCAGACUAGAGGCAUGCAGGGGAGAACGGAAUUCCUGGUGUAGCGGUGAAAUGCGCAGAUAUCAGGAGGAACACCGGUGGCGAAGGCGGUUCUCUGGGCAUGUCCUGACGCUGAGGAGCGAAAGUGUGGGGAGCGAACAGGAUUAGAUACCCUGGUAGUCCACACCGUAAACGUUGGGCGCUAGGUGUGGGAUCCAUUCCACGGGUUCCG
This 778-nucleotide ribosomal RNA is filed under the name uncultured Nocardioides sp. RNAcentral's name for it is "bacterial SSU rRNA". It matches the Rfam family "Bacterial small subunit ribosomal RNA", at positions 53 to 843 of the family's 1533-position model. Lineage: Bacteria; Bacillati; Actinomycetota; Actinomycetes; Propionibacteriales; Nocardioidaceae. The record is from RNAcentral.